RNA transcript from Hypanus sabinus (Atlantic stingray), 6211 nucleotides. RefSeq lists it as uncharacterized. The transcript is spliced from 4 exons. The record is from RefSeq and is a predicted model, not a curated record. Lineage: Eukaryota; Metazoa; Chordata; Chondrichthyes; Myliobatiformes; Dasyatidae.
UUAGUAAUUCAUUCAAUAGUAUUUUCUAGUUAGAAUUAGAAGUGUUUAAAGUGUAUUCAUUGCAUGUAAAAUAUAUCGGCAUGCGAUGACGUCACAUCCGGUUUCGCCGCGUCUUGUGGGAAAACACCGGUUUGAAAUUAGCGCGAGGGUGGGGGCUUUCCACGAGGCUCACCUGAGCACAAGCAGUUUUGCAGGCAUGAGAAAUCACAGUGAGAGCAACGCUUUUUCACCAUAUGUUAAUGUGAAGAGUGAACAGUAAAUGGUUAAUCUUACUGCGAUCUGGUUCUUAUUAACUGUGGUUUAUCCGGACGUUAAAUUCGGCGUUUCGUUACACCCGAAGGAGAACGUUACAGUGAAAAAGCGGCAUUAUCAGGUGUUUCAAGUGCUGCAAUGUCAGCUCAAUCCAGCAUCAAGUCGACGCCGCCCAGCGACAGGGGCAGUAGAACGACAUCAAGUAAGUCCGCACAGGCAAGAGCCAAGGCAGAAGCCGCCAAGGUGCGACUGCAUUACGCCAAACAAGAAGCAGUUUUGAAAAUGAAACUGGCCACCAAAGAAGCCGAAAGGGCCGCCAGACAAAGAGAAGAGGCCGCCAGAGAAGCCGAAACCCAGUUGGAAAUGGCAAAAAUAUCGACAGAGUUGCAAGUGCUGCAGCUAGAAAGAGAAGAAGAAGCUGCCGUGGCGGAAGCAAAGUACAUAGAAGAAGCUGAAGGGUCGCAUGAUCUGACCGCAGCAAGAUCUACUUUAGAAAGGACCAGACUGGAACGCACAAGUGACUAUGUACAAUCUCAAAUAGACAGGCAGGCUUGUCUCCCUUCUCCAUACGUAUUCGAUAACUUCCCCAGCUACGAGGAACCUCAGAGAGUCACGAUUGCAUCACAUCCAUACGAGGAAGGAAAUUUACCCUCACGGCUCCGUGAUGAAGUCAAGAAUGAAAGAACCGUCAACGCUCCUUCACCCCCACAACAGGACGGCGGGGAGGGAGAGGUUCACUCCAGGACAACAAUUGUCAGCUCGAACUGUACAGAAGUUUGCGGUCAAACUCAGUCAAGCCGUUCUUGUUCCGAGAUCUGCCUCACUGAGGUGUACCCUAAAGAAGCACAACAAGACAUUACCAAGCGUAAAGUAACCGACGAGACGCUAGGUCAGUCAGUUUUCGUUCAAACCGAGCACGGAAACAAACUUGCACAAUCAGCUCAAGAUACCAUUUCUUUAAAACCCAAAGACACCAAGGUCUUCAGAGAUGAAGCAAAUAAUGGGGUUGCCCCAUUGCCAAUCAGAGAACCACGCCAGCGCUCACCAGAUAACAAAGAGCAGGCAGUCAAACGGUUCACGUCCUUACGGAAAACCCGGAAAAGGAAACCCGAGAUGCAGCAACGCACCCGAUUGGCCCACGAGGUACUGUGCACCCUAAUGGCAGAGGUCACAGCCAUUAUAAACGCACAAUCAUUCCUACCUGUGUCUUCUGACCCAGAAAACCCCUUUAUACUUUCGCCAUCAACGCUCCUUACGCAGAAGGCAGGAGCACCUCCUCCACGAGGAGACUUCUCAGACAAGGAUUUGUACACAAAGCAAUGGAGACAAGUCCAGGCUCUGGCAAAUCAGUUCUGGCCCCGCUGGAGACAGAAAUAUCUACCUUUGUUGCAACAGAGACAAAAGUGGACAGAACCCCGAAGGAAUCUUCAAGUUGAAGACUUAGUCCUGCUCAGGGACAAGCAAAUCGCCCGCAACAGCUGGCCAACGGCCAGAAUCACUGUUACAUUCCCUAGCGGGGAUGGACAUGUCAGGAAGAUCGAAUUGAAGACUACCGACCAAGGCGAUGUGAAAAUUUACCAAGGGCCAGUUACAGAAGUUAUUCUACUUCUACCCAAUGACUGAUUAAGAGACUAAGUUUUGUACUCUGCUCAUUGUGACCUUACGAAGGUCAAGCGGGGAGUGUGCUGUCUUUACGACAGUUAUUUAGUUUAUAAUAUUUUCGCUUAGUAAUUCAUUCAAUAGUAUUUUCUAGUUAGAAUUAGAAGUGUUUAAAGUGUAUUCAUUGCAUGUAAAAUAUAUCGGCAUGCGAUGACGUCACAUCCGGUUUCGCCGCGUCUUGUGGGAAAACACCGGUUUGAAAUUAGCGCGAGGGUGGGGGCUUUCCACGAGGCUCACCUGAGCACAAGCAGUUUUGCAGGCAUGAGAAAUCACAGUGAGAGCAACGCUGUAAGUUAAUAGAUAAUCGAUAUAUUGAACUAAGAUGUUAAUGCUGAUCCUGUUAGAGGUAACGACGGUAGAUAAUGUUUAUGCUUUCGUUAGUUAAAGAGUCGCGGAUAGUUUGCAUGGAAGUGUAUUUAAAGUAGUCAAUGGAGCAGGUAAACUCUCCCUGUAUACUGCACCUUAGUGUAAUGUAGUUAUAGUCACCUUUGCAAGUAUUUACACUUGAAAUGUGAUAUUAAGGAAGGAACAAAUACUGUAUCAACCUUGUAUUGUUUUAUCAACAGUUUUCACCAUAUGUUAAUGUGAAGAGUGAACAGUAAAUGGUUAAUCUUACUGCGAUCUGGUUCUUAUUAACUGUGGUUUAUCCGGACGUUAAAUUCGGCGUUUCGUUACACCCGAAGGAGAACGUUACACUCUGUACUGGUUGAAACUGGAUAAAAUUUUUGUGUAUAUACUACAAGUCCAUGAACCAAGAGCCUGGAAGUGGGAUUAUUCUGAAUGGAUAGUUUCUGCACAGAAUCUUCACUUGAAAUGUCAAACAGGGGUGGUGAACUAAUGGCACACGUGCCCAAGAGAACACAAAGAAAAAUGUUGUUGGCACGUGGCAUGCAGUGCUGCUCCUCAAUUAAACCCCACACGUAAUGGAAAAUCACACAAUGAUUAUAUUUACUGCCAAAUGAAGCAGCAAUUUAUUUUUUACAACCCACAAGCAGUGAGAGGUUUACACAGUAAAUGCCUCACGCCGGCUUGGUGUCAAGUGGACAGUUGUGAGAAUACAUGAUGUUGGACAAUACGUAUUGAAAUCCUCACAGACCUGGUGUACACUUCAGUAUUUGGACAUCUCUGGAACGGUCACCAGGAUCCUGAAGAAAUAUUGGAUUAAUACCAUCCGUAAACCCAUAAGGAAGCUCAAAUCGCAGCUAAUGCUGGUCAAAGAUGACCUGGGUCUCGGGUUGGCUGGGGUUUACAGAAUUCCUUGUGAAUGUGGAGCAGUGUAUACCAUCCAGAUGGGAUGCACAGUGGAAACCCACAUCAAGAAGCAGAGGAGGUGUAUCCAUUUGGGGUUACCCAGAGAAAUCGGCGGUAGCAGAAUAUUGCAUUUGGAAUGGCCAUAGAAUUGACUUUGGCAACACAAAACUGCUUGUGGGACCACCUGGUAAAAGAAGCCAUUGAAAGAAAACUAGAGGAAAAGAAUUCCAACAAAGAUGAAGGUCUCGCUCAGAAAAUAUGCUUUAAUUCCAAGCUUUUCAGAGGAUCUUUCUUGGACCAACAUAUAACUGCUGUUACAAAGAAGGCAAGGCAGAGCUUCCACGUGUCAUCUGAAACUUUGACAGAAUUCUCCAGAUGCUCACUGGAGAGCAUCCUGACAUCAUGACCUGGUGUGGAAACACCAAUGUCCAUGAAUGGAAACACCUACAACAAAGUAGUGGAUACAGCCCAGUCCAUCACAGGAUAAGAACUCUCUACCAUUGAGCACAUCCACAAGGGCACUGCCACAAGAAAACAGCAUCCCUCUUCAUUUACCCCCACCAUCCAGGCCAAGUACAUCAGGAAGGAGGUACAGGAGCUUGAGGACCCACACCAGACAUCGGGCUCCUGAACCAGCGUAGAUAACUUCACUGUACCAAUACUGAAUUGAUUCCAGAACCUAUGGACUCACUCUCAAGGACACUACAAUUAAUGUUCUCAAUUUUAUUUAUCAUAUGUCAUUAUUUUUAUUCUUUUCACAGCUCAGGCUGGUAAAACCUGAGGUAUGGGCAUAGCCAAGCACACCUUUUUCUCAAUUGCUAGGAACCUUUCGACUAUUCUGGUGGUGUUUAGUUUGUGGCUUUCUGGAGAUUCACAUAAAUAUGGUUGUGCAGGUGUAAUUGUUUAAUGCUAUUGUGGAGUGACAUUGGGAUGAUACCAGUUGUAGAUAUCACUACAGGACAAUAUAUACCCUGUUCAUGUUCCAUAGUCUUUCAAUUCAGCAUAUUUCUGGUGUUUUUCACUUACUGAUUUCUGUGUGUUAUAUAUGUUUGGAAUGACUAUAUCUAUUGAAUACCUUGUUCUUGCUUAUUUAUCCUGCAAUAUAUUAUCUGAACAGUUCUUUUGGAUGGCCCUACCUAUGAUGAUGGAUCAGUGGUAAUAUAAUCUGUAGGACUCUGAUUCUGAAACUGGAUCAGGCCUGUCUUUAUAGUAGGAUGUGGUGUCUUUUGAGUUUGUAUUUUAAAGCAAGAUUUUGGUGUGCCUGUGUAAGUUAUCAGAUGGAGUUAGACUGCUACAGGAUUCUGUAAUGUGUUGGCUUAUUUCUGGUUUCUCUCGGCACUUUUGCAUUUAUCAUCUCAAAUUUGUUGUUUUUAUUAUGUACUUUUGAUUUUAUUUUUGCAUUAAAUACUUUGUCCUGUAUUGCUACAAGGAACCCCUUUGUUUCUGGGAAGACGUCUCCAACUCUGAGCCAGGUGUUCAACACUUCUUUGUUGACAUCUAGUCUGCUCAGAUUGUGGGGAUGUCUUCCAUGAAGGGUCAUACUCUUCCGCUGGUCAACGUAUUCUUCUGUAGUGAUAACUUGUUUACGUUUCUGGCUUGUGUUUGUGAUAAGGUGGGGGCAAGAGCGCUGGGAGAGGAUCCACAAGCAGGACUCAAACACGACUUUCUUACGUUCAAUAAAAUAGCAUUUAUUUCUCGCUACACAGAGAACCGGGAAAUCAAGGAGGACAAAGAGGAACACGAACCUCGGACUAGGAGAGUAGGGACUUGGAUCGCCGCGGACCUUGGACUUGGAGACUAGGACCUUGAACCACUGCAGCCAGAACGUGGACACCAUGGAUCACCGCAGCCAGAAUGUGGACACCAUGGAUCGUCGCAGUCAGAACGUGGACACCAUGGAUCCCAACGGCCAGAACGCGGACACCAUGGAUCGUCGCAGCCAGAACGCGGACACCAUGGAUCGUCGCAGCCAGAACGCGGACACCAUGGAUCGUCGCAGCCAGAACAUGGACACCAUGGAUCCCCGCAGCCAGAACGUGGACACCAUGGAUCGUCGCAGCCAGAACGUGGACUCCAUGAAUCACCGCAGUCAGAACGUGGACACCAUGGAUCACCGCAGCCAGAACGUGGACACCAUGGAUCGUCGCAGUCAGAACGUGGACACCAUGGAUCGUCGCAGCCAGAACGUGGACACCAAGGAUCCCAACGGCCAGAACGUGGACACUCAAACACAGGACAGAAGCGUGAGCCGGAACUCCGCCUUCAACUCAGGAACCAAGCCGAGACUAUUCUUCAAGGGAUAAACAUGGACACUGGGCAUGAACAUCGAGCCAGGACUCUGCCUUCAACUCAGACACCGAGACAGGACUCUUCUUUGAGGAACAGACACGGACACUGGGCAUGAACAUUGAGCCAGGGAACCAAGCCGGGACUCUUCUUCGAUGGACAGACACGGACACGGGACAUGAAUGUCGAGCCAGGACUCUGCCUUCAACUCACCCCUGGCAGUUUGACCUUGCCCGGGCCCACUCUGCCGAAGGAAGGCGAAUUGCCGGCACUCCAAUGCGGGCUGGAUAACCCUGGCUUGUGGUAGUGACGGCGACUUGCUAAUGCUUCCUAACACUCUCGCCCCAAACGACUAAAGCCAGGGGCUUAUAAACUGCCGGUUCGGGUCGAGAGUAGAUUACCUUAAUGGCCAAGCUCAAGGGACACUUGAAACGGAAUUAGGAGGGAACAAGGAGUCAAUGGUCCGGAUCAUAACGCAACCUAACCAAAUUUAAAAGGGAACCGAUCCGGACCAUGACAGUGUUUUCAUUAAGUUUAACUGUGUGUUCUCCUUAUCGGAAAUGCAUAUGCUUGUGUGGAGUGCUGAGUUCUGUUUUCUUUGAUGAAAAUAUAUCUUUAGAAACUUUUUCUGACUGUUGCAUAGAAUUUAUGUAUGUUAUUCCUCUUCCUCCUUCUAUCCAAGGUGGUGUUUUUGGGUGUACACAGUGUUUUCUAAAAUGUUUCACUUCAGUCCUUGUUUUACUUUGUAAAUUUCCCAGAUCAG